GACGAACGCUGGCGGCGUGCUUAACACAUGCAAGUCGAACGGAAAGGCCCUGCUUUUGUGGGGUGCUCGAGUGGCGAACGGGUGAGUAACACGUGAGUAACCUGCCCUUGACUUUGGGAUAACUUCAGGAAACUGGGGCUAAUACCGGAUAGGAGCUCCUGCUGCAUGGUGGGGGUUGGAAAGUUUCGGCGGUUGGGGAUGGACUCGCGGCUUAUCAGCUUGUUGGUGGGGUAGUGGCUUACCAAGGCUUUGACGGGUAGCCGGCCUGAGAGGGUGACCGGACACGUGGGGGGGUGGAUCAGCCCGGGACUCAGGGGGGAGGAGGAGGGGGGGAAUUGGGAAAAAGGGGGGGAGGCAGGAAGCAGCACGGCCGGGGGGGGGAUGGGGGCCUUGGGUUGGGAAACCGUUUCCGCCGGGGAGGAAGGGGGAGAGGGGGGAGGGGAAAAAGAGGCCCCGGCUAAAUCGGUC
This 468-nucleotide ribosomal RNA is filed under the name uncultured bacterium. RNAcentral describes it as "partial 16S ribosomal RNA". The stretch from base 20 to 331 matches the Rfam family "Bacterial small subunit ribosomal RNA", at positions 47 to 358 of the family's 1533-position model. The record is from RNAcentral.